Molecule: long non-coding RNA, 504 nt
Filed under: Elaeis guineensis (African oil palm)
Lineage: Eukaryota; Viridiplantae; Streptophyta; Magnoliopsida; Arecales; Arecaceae
Description: long non-coding RNA (EGUI_LNC061039)
Source: RNAcentral
UCUACAUCAGCCAUCAGAUCAAAUAGGAACCUCUAAUGUGUGUGACCCCGCAGGUUCGAACCUAAGUCGGUAGCACAAGAACCAAUUCCUGUACUAAUCGAAGUGACCAUCUAGCAAUGGUACCCAACAUCCGGAUAGGUCGAAGAGUCGCAAUCGCAACACUCAGAACCUACAUGAAUAUGGUUACUGUAUAAUUCAUCCUUUUGACCCCUGUGUUUAGGACGACUCAGGAUUAAACUGUCAACCCUGAUCAGAUCAUCCGAAUCGUGCUCAACUCAAAUAGUCCUGUGACUCCUCACAAGGACUACCCUGGCCAAGGUUUUGCUAAAUUAAAACAUGACUGUACAUAGCUCCUAAACUGAAGUGGUCAAUCCCAUCUUGACACACACACCGACAAGUCAAGUACUUGACUACACCCAACAGCCUUUCGUCACUGAAUUAGAAAUUCAGGUAGUCCAAUGCCUAAGUGCAGUGAGUUGCUUGCAAGUCACCAUGGCGGUCUCA